CCUACGGGAGGCAGCAGUGAGGAAUAUUGGUCAAUGGACGAGAGUCUGAACCAGCCAAGUAGCGUGAAGGAUGACUGCUCUAUGGGUUGUAAACUUCUUUUAUAUGGGAAUAAAACGUUCCACGUGUGGGAUUUUGUAUGUACCAUAUGAAUAAGGAUCGGCUAACUCCGUGCCAGCAGCCGCGGUAAUACGGAGGAUUCGAGCGUUAUCCGGAUUUAUUGGGUUUAAAGGGUGCGUAGGUGGAUUGUUAAGUCAGUUGUGAAAGUUUGCGGCUCAACCGUAAAAUUGCAGUUGAAACUGGCAGUCUUGAGUACAGUAGAGGUGGGCGGAAUUCGUGGUGUAGCGGUGAAAUGCUUAGAGAUCACGAAGAACUCCGAUUGCGAAGGCAGUUCACUGGACUGCAACUGACACUGAGGCUCGAAAGUGUGGGUAUCAAACAGGAUUAGAUACCCUGGUAGUC
Molecule: ribosomal RNA, 460 nt
Filed under: uncultured bacterium
Lineage: Bacteria
Description: partial 16S ribosomal RNA
Rfam family: Bacterial small subunit ribosomal RNA
Source: RNAcentral